Megalobrama amblycephala (Wuchang bream) is the source of this 142-nucleotide long non-coding RNA. RefSeq lists it as uncharacterized. NCBI's taxonomy places the organism in Eukaryota, Metazoa, Chordata, Actinopteri, Cypriniformes, Xenocyprididae. The record is from RefSeq and is a predicted model, not a curated record. The transcript has 2 exons.
UUUUAAAAAGAACUGUGUUUGGUCAGCUGUUUUCUGGGCGGAGAAACGCUGCCCAGCAAGGAUGGGAAACAGUACUGAAGGAGAUGGGCCUGCUGGGUGUGGUAUCCCCCUCUAGAGCGGCCAAAAAAUGGGAGAACCUAAA